This 5191-nucleotide long non-coding RNA is filed under the name Sus scrofa (pig). RNAcentral's name for it is "lncRNA (ENSSSCG00000052163.1)". Lineage: Eukaryota; Metazoa; Chordata; Mammalia; Artiodactyla; Suidae. The record is from RNAcentral.
AUACAAGUUCUUUGUCGAAUACAUGUGCUAUGCAUCUUACCUCCCAGCCUGUGGUUUGCCUUUUUAAUUUCUUAAAGGAAUUUUUCGUGUUUUGAUUUUUUAAACUGUGAACGGUUUUAUAUAUAUUUUAGUAUUUUGCUUUGAUAUAACAAAUUCCUAUUCUUCACCUUCUAAACCUCUGGAGAUUUUUUUUUUUCUUUUCUUUUUAGGUAAAGUCAGGGACUGAUGGAGAGGAAGGGAUGAAUAGGCUAAACACAGAGGAUUUUUAAGACAGUGAAACGACUCUGUAUGAUACGAUAAUAGUGGAUACAUGUCAUUAUACAUUUGCCAAAACUCAUAGGAUGUACAACACCAGUAGUGAACCUGACUAUAAACUUGGACUCUGGAUGAUAAUGAGGUGUCAAUGUCGAUUCAUGCAUUGUAACAAAUGCACCACUCUGGUGGGGGAUGUUGGUAGUGGGGGGAGUGGCAGGAGGAGGCCAAGGGGUACAGAGGAAAUCUCUAUUCUUUCAGCUCAAUUUUGCUGUGAAACGAAGACUGUUCUAAAAGUAAAAUCUAGGUAAAAAAAUAUAAAGGAAAGUAUUACCAUUUACAACCACAUAUUCAUAUAAAUAUAGAUUUUAUAACUAUUCUCAUUUACUGACUUUAUAAUAAGUAAACAUUAAACAGUUUUCCAAUAAAGUAACACCUUUAACUUUUUAUAUAUCAGCAUGUCCUAUUAAACUUCAUUUACAUGAACGCUUCAGCUAUUAAAACAAAGAAAACAAUGUUAAAGAAGUACAAAAGAAAUAUAGGUAUGCCUAAGUUACUGUGUCAUUUAAUCCACUCUGGUUUCCCAUGAGAAAUGUAUUCAUUCUCUUCAUGCUUGUAAUCUCUGAUCCACCUUCAACCAAAUAAAAACACUUCUAUAUGUAUGCAAACAACCUCGCCAUGUAAUUCAAUUAUAGAACACGGAUGGCAAAUGCUCCAGAAGGUCCCUGGAAUCUCAAUCAGUUUGUACCAUUCUUGUGGCCUGGGCUCCUUUAUUAAGUCAUUCAAUACCAGUCAUUCACAACCUCAGGAGUCCCUUCAAGGCCUCAAUGAGAGCAGCUACUAGGUCCCAAGGUUCCAGAACUUGUCCACAGGACAGAUUGAGCUCUCCUCGCUGGGAAAGCCUGUGUGAGUAUUAUUCAUUUAGUGUAUUUGGGAUACAUUGAUCAAGGGUCAAAAGUGGGUUGAAGCACACGUCAACCAAACUCUUGCAGUCUCCUCGUCUCUCAUAAAUUCUCCUGUGAACCACAAAAAAUUUAAUUUCCCAAAUAGAAGAGCUGCCUUUUUUUUUUUUUCAUAUCAGAGGUGUGUUCUACAAUAAAACAAAAGAACAGUUCCCUUUGUGUCUCAGUAGUAACAAACCCAACCAGAAUUCAUGAGGACACAGAUUUGCUCCCUGGCCUCACUCAGUGGGUUAAGGGUCCGGCAUUGCUGUGAGCUGUGGUGUAGGUCACAGACGAGGCUCGGAUCCAGUGCUGCUGUGGCUGUGGUGUAGGCUGGCAGCUGUAGCUCUGAUUCGACCCCCAGCCUGGGAAUUUCCAUAUGCUACGGGUGCAGCCCUGAAAAGCCAAAAAUAAAAAAUAAAAAAAUAAAAAAAUAAUAGUAAUUAAAUUAAAUAAGAGGGAGAAAAUUGAAUAUGGACAAUAUUACUCUUGCGAAUUCCUUACAUUUUCCAUAAAGUAUACUAAGUUUAGUGAAUGUAGUUCUGCAUAUUAUUAUAUAAGUACAAAUGGAUACUAUAUAUACAUCUACACACAAUGUAUAUGUGUAUAUAUACCUUUAACAUACACACGUUCAUACAUUUUUAUGUAUGAUAUACAUACAUAAAAUGGUUAUAUAUAGUACAAAGUGAUGGUGAGGAAGAUACGGAGCAAUGAAAAUUCUAAUAGCUUGUUGGAAUUCCCACUGAGGCUCAGCAGUAACAAACCCAACUAGUAUCCAUGAGGAUUCAAGUUCAAUCUCUGGUCCAGCUCAGUGGUUAAGGAUCUGUCAUUGCCUUGAGCUAUAGUGUAGUUUACAGAUGUGGCUCAGAUCCCACGUUGUUGUGGCUGUGGUGUAGGCCAGCAGCUGUAGCUCUGAUUCAACCCCUAGCCUGGGAAUUUCCAUAUGCUGCGGGUGCAGCUCUAAAAAGCAGGAGAAAAAAAUUCCUUGUAGCUUGUUGAUGAGACUGCAAAUAAGAACAACCCCUCUGAGAGUCUGGCACUGCCUAAUAAAUUUGAACAAGCCAGAUACACCAUUCCCAAGUACAAACCCUAGAUAAAUCCUUGUACUGGUACACCAGGAGCCAUGGAAGAAAGCUCACACCAGCAUUGCUCAGGGAGGUAAGAAACUUUGAAGCACACGAAUGUCUGUGGACAGUAGAGUGUCUGUAGGUAAAUGAGGGGUAGUGGUGCAGGGGAAUAGUGUGUAGCAGCUAAGUGCAUUGACUGAAGCUCCCAACCCAACCGGAAGCCAAAGAGGAAAGUCAUAAAAAUACGCACAGUAAGAAUUCAUUUCUGUAACAUUCAAGCCCACAAAACCCCACAAUCUAGUAUUUAGAGAUAAGUGAAUAGGUGGGAAAACGAUAAAGAAAGCCAAAGGAAUGAUGUCAUACAAGUCAGGGUAAUGUUUGCCUAUGGAAAGAAAGGGGCUGUGAUGGGGAAGGGAUGCAGGAGGCUUUAAGUCACAGGCUCCGAUCUGUUUCUUAACCUGGCUGGAGGCCUCCGAGGUCAUUUUCUUCAUCUUUAAAUUGCAUGACUUCUUUAAAUUGUGUGUGUGCGUGUGUGUGCACACACGUGCACACACACGUGGCCUCUAUACUCUUUGACCUAUUUUACAAUGUAACAGACACACUCCCAUACAUUGUAGUUGACAUGGAAAACAUUUCACCACAUACUUCCAUCAGUGUUGCCAUGCAAACUACAAUCUACAGGACUGUACCUCUUUAUACUACAGUCACUGGCAACCAAGGAAAGGCUUAACUCUGGGAUGUACAAGGAAGGAGACUUGAGAACAACCAAGUAAACAGUACUUCAUGUCUCCCAUCUCUGGCUUUCUCUGGGGCAUGGAUGGGCUCCUUGUGUGGGAUGGCUGCUGAAAUGAGUAGCAUUAUUUAAAUGGUUUUCUCCAGAAAGCCUUUAGCAAGAUUCCUGUAAGUUCAACGUGCAUCUGAGAAAACCCCCCAAUGAUAGGGUCCUCAUAGCUGUUCAUCUAGUCACCUACAUGUCCCAAUGCCCAAGGUCCACAGGUGUUGCUGGCUGGGCACAGACUCAAGACCCCUCAGUGAGCUCUUUCAUCCAAUAAAGGGGACUGCCACUUAAUCCCUUGAUACCUAUAUGCAUAAUAAAGUCAAAUAUCCUUUACUCUCCUUUCUCUUGUUUUUACAUUUUUUUCUUUGCAAUAAGACCCCCAGAGCUAGUUCCUUGGAGAGUAGGCUCUUUGACAGCAGGCGCUAUCUUCUUUAUGUUUAUACCCAACUUGGUGCCUGCACACGGAAUCAUCAGUUCUGCAUUGUGGUCCUCUUCACUGCCUGUCUCUACAGUAGGCAUCCCUCAGGCUCUAUUUCUGGACACCAUCACUUGUUCUCAGUUGCCUUUGAAUGCUUUCUUCCUGCCCCUGCCUGUCUGCCCUCUCGUUGCACGUCCCCACUUGUAGGAUUCUUCUUUCCAACUGGAAGUCUCCUUCCUUGUUGCCCUGUGACCCACUCAUUUCUUGAGUCCUUCCUCUAGGCCAGUUCUGUAUUAAGUGCUUUCCAUACCUUAAAAUUAAGUCCUCGUCAACCUGCAUGCAGGUGUUAUUAUCCAUAUUUUAUAGAAGAAGAUAUUGGCAGAAAAAGGGGUUAUGAAAUUUAUCAACCCAGGGCAUAGCCACCUCAAGGCUGAUGUACCCAAAAAUCCACCCCACUCUUUGGCUUCUCACCAUUUGCACAGAAAGCUUGCUGUGGCCCCCAACUCUCUCCGCCCCGCUGACCAUAUGUUGCUAUCUGCUCUGCCAGCAAGAUCUAUCUGACUUGUGAUGAGAACAUCAUGAGUAGCUAGCAAGACUCACUCCUGCCAUAGUUCCAACCUACCCUGCCAUUCUCCAGUUCAAACCCCAAGUGAUCUACAUCUUUUCUCAGACCUGUCAAAUCUGUUCGGUGGCUUGCUAAUGCAGACACAGUGUCUCCUACAGCCAGUGUUUCAUUUCUUGAAGAGAAUGAACACAGCCUUUAGCUUUGGCCUGAUCUAUUCAAUCAUCUCAAUUUCUCCCAGUGGCUCUGGUCCUGUUCCCUCUGAUACACUGUCCAAAAUAAAUCCAAUUUCUCUGCUGAUCUGAAACUCACAUCAAACUCCUUCCUUCCAGGCAUGUGAAUUACUACAAAUAUGUCCCUUGGGUCCAUCCCAUUUGAGCUACCUGACUCACGGGGCUGACAACUUUGUCUCUCGGAAAGAAAAGGACGUGAGAACAGAGCCGCUAGUCUGGACUUAAUUCCAACCAACACGGAAGAACAAAUUGGUAAAGCAGAAGUGACGGGAACCUUGGGAGAAAGCGACUGUGUCAUGUUGGAGGUUGUUAUUGUGAACGAAAGAAACACUGGAGAGAGUCAGACGUGUCAACUUUGGAGAAGCAGGUUUCAAAACAUUCUGAUCAGACUGGUGCCACAGACAAACUCGAAAAGAACAGUGACCAUAUUUCCAAAGCAAAAAUCGGGAUAUGACAGAGGCCAACAGAUUUUAUAUUGCAGCUGGUGCUAUGGGAACUCCAAGGAAAAGAAGUUUAGAGGCCAGAGCAAUGAUUUUAGCACACAUUUCAAUAAUCUGUGGGAAUAACUGGACCAAGUAUCUAAAAUAGUGAACGUCUCAAAUUUUAUAAUAUGAGAAUUCUGCAAGAGAUAUUGGGAGGACCUAAAAUGAGAAAUUCUCAGGAUGCAAUCACAGUUGAUCUCAGUUAUAAAGACAUCCAAAGAAAUCAAAAAAUCGGCACGGGGAACCCUUUGGUGAAUACAGAUUUCAAAAGGAUGUGGGGGUGGGAGUGAGUCAAAAGGAAGAUGUGAAAGAAAGGAUGACCUUGACUUAGAAACAGAAAAAAACACCAACUCAGAUUUACCCAGAGGAAGAAAGCGUAUCACAGAAGUUCACGAGGUAAAGGGGGGGGCAGAGAUGGUAUAAACGGGCAACUGCCUUUGACGUCCUUAAUCUAACCU